GUUUUCUUUGGCAUUGCAUGUACUAAAAUUGGAAUGAGGCGAAGAUUAGAAUGUCCCCUGCCGAAAGAUGACACACAAAUUGGUGAAGUGUUCCUACUUAAA
This is a small nuclear RNA of Alexandromys fortis (reed vole), 102 nucleotides long. The record is from RefSeq and is a predicted model, not a curated record. NCBI's taxonomy places the organism in Eukaryota, Metazoa, Chordata, Mammalia, Rodentia, Cricetidae.